This 191-nucleotide unclassified non-coding RNA is filed under the name uncultured fungus. Its description in RNAcentral is "sequence contains ITS1". The record is from RNAcentral. Lineage: Eukaryota; Fungi.
UUAACUUAUUAAAAUAAGACGCUCAGAUAUCCAUUAGAAUAACAAGAGUUUGAUUUUCCGCCGGCAGACGCUACAGGGUAGCUACAGGGUAGGUACAGGGUAGCUUCCGCCGAGGCAACAUGGUAUAUUCACAUGGGUUUGGGAGUUUAUAUAACUCUGUAAUGAUCCCUCCGCUGGUUCACCAACGGAGA